The sequence is a transfer RNA, 88 nucleotides long. It matches the Rfam family "tRNA". Rfam says of the family: Transfer RNA (tRNA) molecules are approximately 80 nucleotides in length. Their secondary structure includes four short double-helical elements and three loops (D, anti-codon, and T loops). Further hydrogen bonds mediate the characteristic L-shaped molecular structure. tRNAs have two regions of fundamental functional importance: the anti-codon, which is responsible for specific mRNA codon recognition, and the 3' end, to which the tRNAs corresponding amino acid is attached (by aminoacyl-tRNA synthetases). tRNAs cope with the degeneracy of the genetic code in two manners: having more than one tRNA (with a specific anti-codon) for a particular amino acid; and 'wobble' base-pairing, i.e. permitting non-standard base-pairing at the 3rd anti-codon position. The record is from Rfam.
GGUUUUGUAGUGUAGCGGUUAUCACUCCGGAUUCUGAUUCAGGCGUCAGAGUCUUCCGGCAACCCCGGUUCGAUUCCGGGCAAGACCU